UACGAACUGCGCAAACGUUAUUCGGAAUCACUGGGCUUACAGGGUGCGUAGGCGGCGGGGAAAGUAGGGUGUGAAAUGCCUUGGCUCAACCAAGGCACAGCGCUCUAAACUCCCUCGCUCGAGUGAGUCAGGGGUACGCGGAACUUCCGGUGGAGCGGUGAAAUGUGUUGAUAUCGGAAGGAACACCGGUGGCGAAAGCGGCGUACUGGGGCUCAACUGACGCUGAGGCACGAAAGCCAGGGGAGCGAACGGG
RNAcentral lists this ribosomal RNA (253 nucleotides) under uncultured bacterium. Its description in RNAcentral is "partial 16S ribosomal RNA". It matches the Rfam family "Bacterial small subunit ribosomal RNA", at positions 524 to 776 of the family's 1533-position model. The record is from RNAcentral.